RNAcentral lists this small RNA (21 nucleotides) under Arabidopsis thaliana (thale cress). RNAcentral's name for it is "Ath_wt_10640". The record is from RNAcentral. Lineage: Eukaryota; Viridiplantae; Streptophyta; Magnoliopsida; Brassicales; Brassicaceae.
UACUCAUAACCGCAUCAGGUC